Long non-coding RNA from Telopea speciosissima, 426 nucleotides. RefSeq lists it as uncharacterized. The transcript has 2 exons. The record is from RefSeq and is a predicted model, not a curated record. Lineage: Eukaryota; Viridiplantae; Streptophyta; Magnoliopsida; Proteales; Proteaceae.
AUAUGAGGAUCUCUAUAACAAUUUCAGCACAAAAGAAGGGGAAUAAUAUAUCUAUAAACUACAGCUAAAAUGAGGGAAAGGAAGAGUAGAUUUUUUCAACCAUAUUAGAUGCAUUAAAAUGAAGGUGAUAAAGUAUUAAUUAAUGAUGAGGAUAUUAAAGAGAGAUGGAAAAACUAUUUCUACAACUUACUAAAGGAAAACAAUACAAGUAAUAGUGUUUUAGAAGGUUGUAAUAACCAUAAAGAAAUCACAAGUCUUAGAUAUAUACAAAAAAUUAGGGUGUCUGAAGUUAAAAAAAAUCUUUAAAGAAGAUGAAAAUAGGUAAAGCAAUAGGCCUAGAUGGUAUUCCAAUAGAGGUGUGGAAUAGUUUAGGAAUCAAUGGAAUAUCUUUGCUAGCUAAGUUGUUUAAUAAGAUUAUGAGCACAA